GACGCGCGAACGCGUCUCGAUCGUCGGAGCGUAAAAGUCCGGCUCGAGGCGUCUAGUAGUCGCGUUCGUAAGGCGCAUUUCUCGAGGGUUAGCGCCGCGACCGAUGCGAACGGCCGACGACGCCGUCGAGUUGAGGUCGAACGCCCUUCGCGGGUAUUCGUAACCAGCUCGUUCGGUUCGAUCGUUGGAUCUUAAUAAAAGGCAUCGAGCGAAUACCUUAAUAAUUACGUCGGCGUAAAACGCUCGACGAGCGGCGGAGACUCGGCCAGUCGUUCGAUACCUGCUCGCAGGUGCUCGUUCGGCGCGAGGUCGUUUCCCGAUGUCGCCGUCGACGCUACCGACGUUUAGGCGUCCGCGGCGUCCGAGUCGGCCACCCGUCCGACCCGUCUUGAAACACGGACCAAGGAGUCUAACGUACGCGCGAGUUAAUGGGCGGAAAAACCCAUAAGCGCAAUA
Molecule: ribosomal RNA, 456 nt
Filed under: Xiphinema rivesi
Lineage: Eukaryota; Metazoa; Nematoda; Enoplea; Dorylaimida; Longidoridae
Description: partial 28S ribosomal RNA
Source: RNAcentral